This 925-nucleotide long non-coding RNA is filed under the name Pan troglodytes (chimpanzee). RNAcentral's name for it is "lincRNA". Lineage: Eukaryota; Metazoa; Chordata; Mammalia; Primates; Hominidae. The record is from RNAcentral.
ACUCACCCCUGCGCCAUCCUCGCUGUCACAGUGCCUGAUGCCCCCAAACUGGAAGUGUGCCUGCCAUUGCCUUUCCCUGCCUGGUUUCCAGCAGUCCCAUCACAUGGCUCCAAAAACAGCAUCAGGGUUUUUUUCUAGAACCCAAAUUUAUAAACAAGGGGCAAUGUCCUCUGACAAGACUGGGCAUCCAGUUCCAAUCCAAAGGCUGCCCCUUUGACCAGGCCCAUCUUCUCCACCUCACAUCAGACAGCCAAUCGGCUGCCCAGACCUCGAAACCUCAGUAAACUAGAAGGAAAUGGACCUUGGCAAACGUGUGUCAGGAGAGGAUGACUUGGAGGUGUCCACCGUGUUUCUUACUGAAGAUGUCUAGAAGUCAAUUGGGGUCAAGGAACAAGCCUCUACUCACAUGCAUGUGGGCAAAUGAAGUCACAGAACAAAUAACCUACCCUGCAUCCAGGCACAGAGUCCAGGGACACCCCCUGCUGCUGCCUCACCUAAGAGAAAGUGGCCCAAGAAGCACUGGCCCGGUGCCUGCUGAUGCCAGGAGCCCUCUGCUACUGCCUGACACAAGCAUCCUUCGCUUCCCCCUCCCAGGCCCUCCCCGAAAACGUGGGCCACAGAUACCACUCCCUAUGCCACUGAGCCCCACAUUUCCCAUCCCCCAAGCCACUCCCACCAGCCCCAGAGCUUUCCUACAUUUAUGAUUUGUCCAAAAAUGUGAUGCCCUUCAGCCCCCAGAAGGUCAUCCUCCAGGCUGUGAUCAUCACACAGGGGGUCCCGCAUGGGGUCCUCACAGGCCUUCAACCCAGCACAAAUCGUGGCCUGGUUUGACCUUUGAAAUACCUCAACAUCUAAAAUUCAGAGCUUUUUUGGAAUAUUUAUUUUCCAUAGAUAUAAUUCUUUCAAAUAAAUUCCUUAGAAAACA